AGCGAACGCUGGCGGCAGGCCUAACACAUGCAAGUCGAACGGAUCCUUCGGGAUUAGUGGCGGACGGGUGAGUAACACGUGGGAACGUGCCUUUUGGUUCGGAACAACUCAGGGAAACUUGAGCUAAUACCGAAUGUGCCCUUCGGGGGAAAGGAUUAUCGCCAUUAGAGCGGCCCGCGUCUGAUUAGCUAGUUGGUGGGGUAAAGGGCUCACCAAGGCUACGAUCAGUAGCUGGUCUGAGAGGAUGAUCAGCCACAUUGGGACUGAGACACGGCCCAAACUCCUACGGGAGGCAGCAGUGGGGAAUCUUGCGCAAUGGGCGAAAGCCUGACGCAGCCAUGCCGCGUGAAUGAUGAAGGUCUUAGGAUUGUAAAAUUCUUUUCACCGGGGACGAUAAUGACGGUACCCGGAGAAGAAGCCCCGGCUAACUUCGUGCCAGCAGCCGCGGUAAGGUGCGCGAGU
RNAcentral lists this ribosomal RNA (462 nucleotides) under uncultured bacterium. RNAcentral describes it as "bacterial SSU rRNA". It matches the Rfam family "Bacterial small subunit ribosomal RNA", at positions 29 to 534 of the family's 1533-position model. The record is from RNAcentral.